Molecule: unclassified non-coding RNA, 22 nt
Filed under: Mus musculus (house mouse)
Lineage: Eukaryota; Metazoa; Chordata; Mammalia; Rodentia; Muridae
Description: oocyte_clustered_small_RNA2760
Source: RNAcentral
UGCUGCCCGCCUCUUGCUUCUG